CCAUAGCGAUAAGAGACGUUAGCUAAUAACUUUAGUUAAUCUUUUCCAAGCUGUGUAUUUUAAUCAUCUGAGAUAGCUCCCAAGAACAGUUUAGAAAGAACCACUGUGCUAUCAAGACUGCUUAAUGUUUUAAUUUUUUUAGGACAGAAUAAUCUUGCAUUUCCCCCCAUUUAAAAAAUCAACAAACUAGGCUGCAAUACUCCAGUUUCAUUGUCUUUUUUUUUUUUUUUUUUUUUUUUUUGGUGCUCGGAGGAUCUCAGCAUUGUAUUUCGGACUAUUCCUUUUCAUGUUAUAUGGAAAUCUGCACUGUGUAUUUGAGGUUGGGGACGUCAUGUCAGGAGAAUGAAUGGUCAUCUCUAAUCCUGUGAACCAUCAACCAGCCUGCUUUGGGCCCAAGAACCCUAAGAUUGGGGUGAAGGAUCUUCCUACCUUCCUGGGAAAGGAGAUGAGGAGUGGCCUGGAGAGUGAUCAGUGAGUGUAUGGCCAGCUGAAUCAGAACUUUGGAUAUUACAAGAGUUGGGGGAUGGACGCGUACAGACCACUGCUGGUGCAAGCCAUCCCCCAAGGAUCGGUGACCCAGCCUGCCUCUGGAGCAGAAUUGGUUGCAUUUCUUGUUUACCAUCAUGGUGAACAGAUCUAUUUGAGGAGUGCCCUGUGCCAGAAUAUGUAGGCAAGUAUGAUAGAAUCUAUCUCCCACUCAUGGUCUUGAGAGAAGUGCCUGCUGAGUGUGUCCAUGGUCACAUUCUAAAUUCCUGGGAGGUAAGCUGCUAAAAUGACAAUCUGACUGCAUAUGCAUCAGUUCCAAAGCUUGACAGCCUUGGUGCAAAGGGGGGGGAUCUUGCCCCUCCUUGUUGUUUGAUACAGAACAUGCAUGACAUGCUGUCUCUCAUGACCUUUAUGUGUUUGCCCCUGAUUAGUGGUAGAAACUGGACAUGGGACGUAUCUGUCUGCCCUGAGUUCCAGGAGGUUGAUGUGCAGAGUGGUUUUCUGAAGCAUCCACCUGCCCUGCACCAUGUGGGUGUCUAGAUGCACUCCCCACCUGUGACAUUAUCUGAUUAAAAUAUGACCAUGUAGAUCAUUGUUGCUACCACUGUUAUAUAAUUACAACAAAUCUUGUACAAAGUAUGUCAAGUAAAGUGUCUAUGGAAAGGUUAUGAUUUGCUGAAUAUGAUUAUGCUAUUGGUAUGCAUGUAUCAUGUUUGUAUUUGUAGUUAUGAGUAUUGGCUUUAUACCUGUCUGAUGUUAUUGGCAUAAACUGUGACCGUAUAGAUCAUUGUUGCAACCAGGGUUCUAUGGUUGCACCAGGUCUUGUACAGAGGAGGUCAAGUGGGAUGUCUAUGGAAAGGUUGUAGUUUGCUGGUUAUGAUUAUGCUGUCUGUAUGUGUGUAUCACUUUUGCAUUUCAAGUUAUGAAUAUUGGCUAUGUACUUGUAUCUCAAUGUGUUUGAUUCUAAGUAGCCUCAGUGAAGCAUUUGGUCAACUUCUUGAGAAAGGACUAUUCUCAGUAAGUGCCCAAUCAAGAAACAAUUAACUGAUAAUGGACUUUGGGAGACACCUAUCCACAUCUGAGCUUUCCUGGGAAUGUUCAAACUAACAUGUAAACAAUGGUGUCAGCCUGCAAACAGCUGAAUCAUUCAUGGACAUGUGACUUGCCCAGGUGGCUACAAACUCCAUCUUGUUGCUGUGACUUUGCACAGAAGAACAAAGGGGUUUUCACCCACGAGAGAGAGAAUUUAAAAGGCCCUGGAAGCCUCUCCAUUUUGUCUUCAGCUGGCUUAAGAGAUGGCCUCUCCACCCCCAAGAGAUGCCUGAAAGAAACUGGAACAAAGGACAAUAACUACAGGGGUGUGAGUGAUUGCUGGACCCAGACUAGGAAGGAGUCCAGUCUUUGAAAGAAGCUGACUGGAACAUCUCUAAGGGUGAGAUUUACCUAUAUGCAGUUUCUUCAUGUAUUUGGCUUAGACUUACAUGUGUUGUUUCAUUUUGCUUGGUAACUUACUUUGUUCUAUCUGUUAUUACUUGGAACCACUUAAA
Caretta caretta (loggerhead turtle) is the source of this 2033-nucleotide long non-coding RNA. RefSeq lists it as uncharacterized. NCBI's taxonomy places the organism in Eukaryota, Metazoa, Chordata, Testudines, Cheloniidae. The record is from RefSeq and is a predicted model, not a curated record.